RNAcentral lists this ribosomal RNA (514 nucleotides) under uncultured bacterium. Its description in RNAcentral is "bacterial SSU rRNA". It matches the Rfam family "Bacterial small subunit ribosomal RNA", at positions 15 to 518 of the family's 1533-position model. The record is from RNAcentral.
GAUCCUGGCUCAGGAUGAACGCUAGCUACAGGCUUAACACAUGCAAGUCGAGGGGCAGCAGGACGAUAGCUUGCUAUGUUGCUGGCGACCGGCGCACGGGUGAGUAACGCGUAUCCAACCUUCCCCUUAGUAGGGCAUAGCCCGGUGAAAAUCGGAUUAAUACCCUAUGUUGUGUCAUGAGGACAUCUGAAUAACACUAAAGAUUUAUCGCUAAGGGAUGGGGAUGCGUCCGAUUAGGUAGUCGGCGGGGUAACGGCCCACCGAGCCCUCGAUCGGUAGGGGUUCUGAGAGGAAGGUCCCCCACACUGGUACUGAGACACGGACCAGACUCCUACGGGAGGCAGCAGUGAGGAAUAUUGGUCAAUGGGCGUAAGCCUGAACCAGCCAAGUAAGCGUGCAGGAUGACGGCCCUAUGGGUUGUAAACUGCUUUUAUACGGGGAUAAAGUGAGGGACGUGUCCCUUAUUGUAGGUACCGUAUGAAUAAGGACCGGCUAAUUCCGUGCCAGCAGCCGC